GGGGCUGAUUCUGGAUUCGACGGGAUUUGCGAAACCCAAGGUGCAUGCCGAGGGGCGGUUGGCCUCGUAAAAAGCCGCAAAAAAUAGUCGCAAACGACGAAAACUACGCUUUAGCAGCUUAAUAACCUGCUUAGAGCCCUCUCUCCCUAGCCUCCGCUCUUAGGACGGGGAUCAAGAGAGGUCAAACCCAAAAGAGAUCGCGUGGAAGCCCUGCCUGGGGUUGAAGCGUUAAAACUUAAUCAGGCUAGUUUGUUAGUGGCGUGUCCGUCCGCAGCUGGCAAGCGAAUGUAAAGACUGACUAAGCAUGUAGUACCGAGGNGGAUGUAGGAAUUUCGGACGCGGGUUCAACUCCCGCCAGCUCCACCA
RNAcentral lists this transfer-messenger RNA (366 nucleotides) under Escherichia coli. It matches the Rfam family "transfer-messenger RNA". From Rfam's summary of the family: Bacterial tmRNA, also known as 10Sa RNA or SsrA, is named for its dual tRNA and mRNA-like properties. Its role is to liberate the mRNA from a stalled ribosome. The record is from RNAcentral. Lineage: Bacteria; Pseudomonadati; Pseudomonadota; Gammaproteobacteria; Enterobacterales; Enterobacteriaceae.